CGAAAACGAACAUUCUGUAGGAAGUUACACCAAAUGGCAACUUGUAGCCUGUAGGUGAGGACGCCACUUGGACGGCGAUAAGCCCUUUGUCCAUUUCCCAAAGCAACAACACGGUUUCAGUCAACGUGUAAGGUACGGAUCUUAAGAAGCGCGUGAGGUCCGCGUCUGACGCCACGCGGAAAUCGGACUAAUGCAUGCCACUCGGAUCUUGCUUCCUUCGUU
RNAcentral lists this long non-coding RNA (222 nucleotides) under Vitis vinifera (wine grape). RNAcentral describes it as "long non-coding RNA (VVIN_LNC005634)". Lineage: Eukaryota; Viridiplantae; Streptophyta; Magnoliopsida; Vitales; Vitaceae. The record is from RNAcentral.